Molecule: ribosomal RNA, 523 nt
Filed under: uncultured bacterium
Lineage: Bacteria
Description: bacterial SSU rRNA
Rfam family: Bacterial small subunit ribosomal RNA
Source: RNAcentral
CCAGAGAACUUUCCAGAGAUGGAUUGGUGGCCUUCGGGGAACUCUGAGACAGGUGCUGCAUGGCUGUCGUCAGCUCGUGUUGUGAAAUGUUGGGUUAAGUCCCGCAACGAGCGCAACCCUUAUCCUUUGUUGCCAGCGGUUAGGCCGGGAACUCAAAGGAGACUGCCAGUGAUAAACUGGAGGAAGGUGGGGAUGACGUCAAGUCAUCAUGGCCCUUACGAGUAGGGCUACACACGUGCUACAAUGGCGCAUACAAAGAGAAGCGACCUCGCGAGAGCAAGCGGACCUCAUAAAGUGCGUCGUAGUCCGGAUUGGAGUCUGCAACUCGACUCCAUGAAGUCGGAAUCGCUAGUAGUCGUGGAUCAGAAUGCCACGGUGAAUACGUUCCCGGGCCUUGUACACACCGCCCGUCACACCAUGGGAGUGGGUUGCAAAAGAAGUAGGUAGCUUAACCUUCGGGAGGGCGCUUACCACUUUGUGAUUCAUGACUGGGGUGAAGUCGUAACAAGGUAGGCGUAGAUGA